AGUAUUGGGGACACCCACUAAUUUUUUUUAAGACGUUUUUUUUUACUGAAUGUCCUUGCAUAUAUGCCACGACGUCAACACCACUCAAGCACUUCAAAAGCAAAAACAGGGAAAAGUUGCGCAGAGGCCAACGCAUCUAAAAUCCAAAGAGGUCUCGGGUUCGAAUCACGGAUACCCAAAAACCAUAAUAGUUGAAUAAGGGAAAUAAUAGAAAAGUCCCGUGCUAGGCGUAUGAUUCACUAUUCAAGUUUUCCCAAAUGGCUCAAAUUUUCGUCUUCCCUCUCAGAUUCAAACCCUUCCCUUUCACUUUCCCUCAAUUUCUAUCAAAGUUUCCCGUCAAAUGGAAAUAGUUCACCUAAUUUCAUCCUAUCAAUCAACAAUUCUCUAUUCUUUCUCACCUUCAUCUCGAUGCAUCCAUCAUCACCUAGAAAACCCUAAUAUUCUUCCCUGCCAUCGAAAAUCCAAACGAGUGAAAUCCUUGCUCAAUCAAAAUUGAAGGUGCAGCGAAGAAGAAAAAAAGAAGAGGGAUAUUCAUUGCGACCAAACCCGUAGAUUGGCUGGGUCAGAUCUAACUCCUUAUGACAAGCGAGGGUCAAUGUUCGUUCUGGUCAGAGGAGAUAUAUGUUUAAUUUUAUCAAUUUUAUAUCUUGAGUUUGAUUCUUCAAAAUUCUGGCUGGACCAAUCUCUCUCAACUUCUCAGAACAUGUGCAAGGGAAGCACAGUACAAUCACCUUCAGAUAAUCAUAUAUGACUUUUCACGACCAAGGUUGAAUAUUCCACCUCGUAUGCUACCACAGACAAGGCACCCAACUACUCUCUCUUCUCCAUUCUGAAAAUUAUAUUGUGGUAAAUGUCCUGGUAGAUAUGGGAAGUGUUGGAAGGCAAGUUCUUGUUAAAAUUAUGAGGGAAAGAAAGUUGCUUUUGACCAGAGGAUCCCCAAUUUGAAGGUGGUCUACACUCUAUAGAUGGGCAUAAAAUAUAAGUGACAGAUGCAUAUCCUAUUUGUUUAUGCAUUAAAAUUUCAGAUUUAAAACUGGCUGAGAAACUUUUGCUUUGCUUCUAAAUUUCAUAACCUAUGGAUUAUUGUUUCUUACCUUCUAAUCUAAUUUUCUAAGGCUUGUGAAAGAUAAUUGACUUGGACAAGGAUGUAUUACUCUCAUUCAAUGUGUUACCAUUUUCAUAUGGUUAUUGCAGUCAGUAGUCUCCCAGUGAGUGUUCUCUUGUUUUUAGGUUUUUGCAUGGUUCUGUUCAGACAGUUCUUCUUCUUAAUAGGCAACAUAGACCUGGUCGUCUCUGUGCUAAUUAUGACUAUCAAGUGAGUAGUCUUAGAAGACUAGCAUCAGGUGUACAAGAAGAAGCUCAGCAGUGCAGGAGGAGAAAAAGGGAUGAAGAAGACAAACCUUGGGAUCUUAAAGAGGAACUACAGAGUGUGAAGGUCACCAUGAUAAGCGUCAAUGGUUCAAAAAGGAUGCAAAAGGAUAUUUCCAUUAGCCAGUAAAGGAUUUCUACCCACCUCUGAACAUAUUGGCAGCUUGCAUGGUAGCCUCUGAUCGCUCUAUUUUUGACUUCUGUAUUCAGUCUGUUUCUCCAAUUCCAGUAUAAGUAAGAAAGGUUUGGCAUUCUCAAAUGCUUGCCAUAAAAUUUACAUGAAGCAAAAUCUAUUCGGAUUGAAAAGUUCAAGACAAACUCAUGGAUGCUCAUAAUGAAUGUGAUGCGGCAAUACUUGUAAAGUUGUAGUUAGAUUAGAUUGUAACUUAUAGUUUAGUGCACUUGGGAAAAUAAAUCUGUGCUCAUUUGAUAUUGUAUUUUGGAUGUUUAUAUAUAAGUUUGGUUAGUAAUGGUGUAAAUUUGCAUAUUUUAAUUUUUUUUUUGUUUCAUGAAAAAGAUACAAGGACGUUU
Rosa rugosa (rugosa rose) is the source of this 1899-nucleotide long non-coding RNA. RefSeq lists it as uncharacterized. The record is from RefSeq and is a predicted model, not a curated record. The transcript has 9 exons. NCBI's taxonomy places the organism in Eukaryota, Viridiplantae, Streptophyta, Magnoliopsida, Rosales, Rosaceae.